RNAcentral lists this ribosomal RNA (243 nucleotides) under uncultured bacterium. RNAcentral describes it as "partial 16S ribosomal RNA". It matches the Rfam family "Bacterial small subunit ribosomal RNA", at positions 111 to 354 of the family's 1533-position model. The record is from RNAcentral.
UAACACGUGAGCAACCUGCCUUUAAGAGUGGGAUAACGGUCGGAAACGACCGCUAAUACCGCAUAAUAUACAUGAAUCGCAUGGUUUGUGUAUCAAAGAUUUAUCGCUUAAAGAUGGGCUCGCGUCUGAUUAGCUGGUUGGUGAGGUAACGGCUCACCAAGGCGACGAUCAGUAGCCGUACUGAGAGGUAGAACGGCCACAUUGGGACUGAGACACGGCCCAGACUCCUACGGGAGGCAGCAG